RNAcentral lists this ribosomal RNA (492 nucleotides) under uncultured bacterium. Its description in RNAcentral is "bacterial SSU rRNA". It matches the Rfam family "Bacterial small subunit ribosomal RNA", at positions 37 to 518 of the family's 1533-position model. The record is from RNAcentral.
AUGGCGUCAGGAUGAAACGCGUGGCGGCGUGCUUAACACAUGCAAGUCGAACGAAGCAACUAUCUUGCUGCAAGAAAGUUGACUUAGUGGCGGACGGGUGAGUAACGCGUGGGUAACCUGCCUCAUACAGGGGGAUAACAGUUGGAAACGACUGCUAAGACCGCAUAACCCGCUAGUGUCGCAUGACACGGACGGAAAAUAUUUAUAGGUAUGAGAUGGGCCCGCGUCUGAUUAGCUAGUUGGUAAGGUAACGGCUUACCAAGGCGACGAUCAGUAGCCGACUUGAGAGAGUGAUCGGCCACAUUGGGACUGAGACACGGCCCAAACUCCUACGGGAGGCAGCAGUGGGGAAUAUUGGACAAUGGGGGAAACCCUGAUCCAGCCGACGCCGCGUGAGUGAAGAAGUAUUUCGGUAUGUAAAGCUCUAUCAGCAGGGAAGAUAAUGACAGUACCUGACUAAGAAGCCCCGGCUAACUACGUGCCAGCCGCCGC